GGCGAACGCUGGCGGCGUGCUUAACACAUGCAAGUCGAACGGAAAGGCCCUGCUUUUGUGGGGUGCUCGAGUGGCGCACGGGUGAGUAACACGUGAGUAACCUGCCCUUGACUUUGGGAUAACUUCAGGAAACUGGGGCUAAUACCGGAUAGGAGCUCCUGCUGCAUGGUGGGGGUUGGAAAGUUUCGGCGGUUGGGGAUGGACUCGCGGCUUAUCAGCUUGUUGGUGGGGUAGUGGCUUACCAAGGCUUUGACGGGUAGCCGGCCUGGGAGGGUGACCGGCCACAUUGGGACUGAGAUACGGCCCAGACUCCUACGGGAGGCAGCAGUGGAGAAUAUUGCGCAAUGGGCGGAAGCCUGAUGCAGCAACGCCGCGUGCGGGAUAACGGCCUUCGGGUUGUAAACCGCUUUCGCCUGUGACGAAGCGUGAGUGACGGUAAUGGGUAAAGAAGCACCGGCUAACUACGUG
This 468-nucleotide ribosomal RNA is filed under the name uncultured bacterium. Its description in RNAcentral is "partial 16S ribosomal RNA". It matches the Rfam family "Bacterial small subunit ribosomal RNA", at positions 28 to 507 of the family's 1533-position model. The record is from RNAcentral.